AGACUGACGCUCAGGUGCGAAAGCGUGGGGAGCAAACAGGAUUAGAUACCUGGUAGUCACGCUGUAAACGAUGUCGAUUUGGAGGUUGUUCCCGUGAGGAGUGGCUUCCGGAGCUAACGCGUUAAAUCGACCGCUGGGGAGUACGGCCGCAAGGUUAAAACUCAAAUGAAUUGACGGGGGCCCGCACAAGCGGUGGAGCAUGUGGUUUAAUUCGAUGCAACGCGAAGAACCUUACCUACUCUUGACAUCCAGAGAAUUUAGCAGAGAUGCUUUAGUGCCUUCGGGAACUCUGAGACAGGUGCUGCAUGGCUGUCGUCAGCUCGUGUUGUGAAAUGUUGGGUUAAGUCCCGCAACGAGCGCAACCCUUAUCCUUUGUUGCCAGCACAUUAUGGUGGGAACUCAAAGGAGACUGCCGGUGAUAAACCGGAGGAAGGUGGGGAUGACGUCAAGUCAUCAUGGCCCUUACGAGUAGGGCUACACACGUGCUACAAUGGCGUAUACAAAGAGAAGCGACCUCGCGAGAGCAAGCGGAACUCAUAAAGUACGUCGUAGUCCGGAUUGGAGUCUGCAACUCGACUCCAUGAAGUCGGAAUCGCUAGUAAUCGUAGAUCAGAAUGCUACGGUGAAUACGUUCCCGGGCCUUGUACACACCGCCCGUCACACCAUGGGAGUGGGUUGCAAAAGAAGUAGGUAGCUUAACCUUCGGGAGGGCGCUUACCACUUUGUGAUUCAUGACUGGGGUGAAGUCGUAACAAGGUAACCA
This 763-nucleotide ribosomal RNA is filed under the name uncultured Providencia sp. RNAcentral describes it as "bacterial SSU rRNA". It matches the Rfam family "Bacterial small subunit ribosomal RNA", at positions 737 to 1502 of the family's 1533-position model. Lineage: Bacteria; Pseudomonadati; Pseudomonadota; Gammaproteobacteria; Enterobacterales; Morganellaceae. The record is from RNAcentral.